RNAcentral lists this ribosomal RNA (373 nucleotides) under uncultured Glomeromycotina. Its description in RNAcentral is "LSU rRNA". The record is from RNAcentral. Lineage: Eukaryota; Fungi; Glomeromycota.
UUGAAAGGGAAACGAUUGAAGUCAGCCGUACUUGCGGGUAAUCAGCCUUUUGGGUGUGAUUCUGUGGAGUGUGAGGAGUUAAACGCCUUCAUGCCUGCAUAUUCGUGCACUUUGGGUGUACUUGCCCGUGUGGUUAGUUAACAUCAAUUUUGGUCGUUAUAAAAUGGCUGGAGGAAUGUAGCUUCGAUCUCGUAUUGAAGUGUUAUAGCCUUCGGUAGAUGUGAUGAUCGGGAUUGAGGAUUGCAACGGAUACCUUUCGGGGCUACUCGUCUGAUCUCUGAUUGUUGCUUUGGUGCUGAAAGCGUGCUUAUGGUUAUCAAAGUCGAUGGUCAAUAGGUUAGAACGGGUUAAAUUCGUUAAGGAUGUUGACGUA